Molecule: ribosomal RNA, 467 nt
Filed under: uncultured bacterium
Lineage: Bacteria
Description: partial 16S ribosomal RNA
Rfam family: Bacterial small subunit ribosomal RNA
Source: RNAcentral
GACGAACGCUGGCGGCGUGCUUAACACAUGCAAGUCGAACGGAAAGGCCCUGCUUUUGUGGGGUGCUCGAGUGGCGAACGGGUGAGUAACACGUGAGUAACCUGCCCUUGACUUUGGGAUAACUUCAGGAAACUGGGGCUAAUACCGGAUAGGAGCUCCUGCUGCAUGGUGGGGGUUGGAAAGUUUCGGCGGUUGGGGAUGGACUCGCGGCUUAUCAGCUUGUUGGUGGGGUAGUGGCUUACCAAGGCUUUGACGGGUAGCCGGCCUGAGAGGGUGACCGGCCACAUUGGGAAGGAGAUACGGCCCGGAACCCUAGGGGAGGCAGCAGUGGGGAAUUUUGCACAAGGGGCGGAAGCCUGAUGCAGAAACGCCGGGGGCGGGAUGACGGCCUUCGGGGUGUAAACCGCUUUCGCCUGGGAAGAAGGGGGAGUGACGGUAAUGGGUAAAGAAGCACCGGCUAACUACGU